CGAGAGGGGGUAAAAGCCCUCGGCGCACGGCUGAGUAACACGCGGAUAAUCUGCCCUAAGGUGGAGGAUAAUCUCGGGAAACUGAGGAUAAUACUCCAUAGGCCUUGGAUGCUGGAAUGCUUCAAGGCUUAAAGCUCCGGCGCCUUAGGAUGAGUCUGCGGCCUAUCAGGUUGUAGUGGGUGUAACGGACCCACUAGCCUACGACGGGUAGGGGCGUUGAGAGACGGAGCCCCCAGAUGGAUUCUGAGACACGAAUCCAGGUCCUACGGGGCGCAGCAGCUGCGAAACCUUCGCAAUGUGGGAAACCACGACGAGGGAAUUCCAAGUGCUAAUACAAUGUAUUAGCUGUUCUCCCGUCUAAAAAACAGGAGAAGUAAGGGCUGGGUAAGACGGGUGCCAGCCGCCGCGGUAAUACCCGCAGCCCGAGUGGUGCUCGAUUUUAUUGAGCUUAAAGCGUACGUAGCCGGUCAUGUAAAUCCUUGGGUAAAUCGGGCAGCUUAACUGUUCGACUUCCGAGGAGACUGCACGACUUGGGACAGGGAGAGGUCAGAGGUACCUCCGGGGUAGGGGUAAAAUCCUGUAAUCCUGGAGGGACACCAGUGGCAAAGGCGUCUGACUAGAACUGAUCCGACGGUGAGGAACGAAGCCCUGGGGCGCAAACGGGAUUAGAUACCCCGGUAGUCCAGGGUGUAAACGCUGCGGGCUUGGUGUCGGGGGUCCUACGGGGGCACCCGGUGCCGGAGAGAAAUUGUCAAGCCUGCCGCUUGGGGAGUACGGUCGCAAGACUGAAACUUAAA
This 797-nucleotide ribosomal RNA is filed under the name uncultured archaeon. Its description in RNAcentral is "bacterial SSU rRNA". It matches the Rfam family "Archaeal small subunit ribosomal RNA", at positions 59 to 860 of the family's 1478-position model. The record is from RNAcentral.